CCCGCACACCACUCGUCCCCCGCAUGACUUCCCCUCCUCUCUCUCUCCCAGAUCCAUACGCCGCCGCAACCAUCGCCAUCCUCUCCCCUUCCCGCAGAUCCAAAACCACGGCGACGGUCAUGCGGAUCGAAAAGCGAUGGCAGCAGACCUCAUGGAUCCAUCUCCCUCACCCUCUCAGCCCCCACGCACCCAUGCCCGCCACCCCCAACCCUCUCCCUCCCUCUAUGAUCUCGAUCGGCCCUGCUCUCCACCGCCCACCUCGACUUCGCAGGAGAUAGAGGCGUCGCCGCCCAGCAACCAUGGCUGUCUUUCUCGCCGAUGAGCACGGCGCUCCAUCAAUCUGGCCGGACCCGGCACGUGCGUGGCCUGUCUAGGGUCUCCGGCCACUAGGACGGGACAGCGCCAUCGACCCUCGGCUCCGGCGACUGCGACUGGCAGCGGGCGUCUCUCCCAGUCAUCUUGCAGUUUCUGGGAUGAGCGGGAGCACGAAGUGGUUUGGCUGUUCGGCAACUCCGAGUGACCACGGUACAGGGCAGGUGCCAUGGCGGCAGGUACUUGUGUGGUGAGAAGCAACCUUCGGCUGAUCAUCAGGAAAGGCAGCAAGCAUGAUUAUUAGUAUUUCAGUCACGCUGAUGCUCACUGUUGUUGUUGCCCUUUUUAGCUGAAACCCACAAAUACAGUUAGAAUUUGCCUUGAGAUAUCUAUGUGUGAGUGUCAAUACAACUUCUUAAAGGGAAUUAUCCGGGCCUAACUUAUGUGGAUGUAGAUGCAUAUUACUACUACUCAAUAACCUUCAUCUAGUCACCGUUACUGUAUGAAAGAAUUCAUGAACUAGGAUUUUGUUUAAGUAGCUACCGAAUCUGCUUGCUUGGUUAUGGCAGACAUACAUGUCUUACAAAUUCGUUAUUCUUGUUUGAAGCUAAGCUAGGCUACUGCAGUUCCAGCAAAAAACAGGGGAGCCGCUCUUUUUGUUCUUCACUAAUAAAUUCUUGUUUGAAUGCAUAUCCUGGGGGUGGUGAAGCUGGGAGCCUUUCCUCCCCAUAAAAAUACUUUGCUCUUCAUUAUGAGCAGUGCCCUUAUAUGAUUAGCUGCUAGGAGUGUUUAUAUACUUGAUCACCACACCUCUACUGUUCUGGUUACUUUUGCUUUCUUCUAUGUAGUUGUCCAGGGCAUAACAGUUUUAUGUGUGGCUUGUUAUUUUGUUACCAGCCUACUUUCUUGUGCUCCUGGUCGAGUCUUGUGGAGAAGCAGGGCGAAUCGGGCAUCAUCUCACUUGUGCCUCUGUGGUAAGAAUAGAACACCACUCUCACUUGAUGUGCAUGUAUUAGUACAACAAAGCAUUCUUACAUGGUGAUUGUUAGCGACACAACAAUUAUCUUGCAACAUAGCUUGCCAAAUUGCUUGCUUGCUUACUAUAUAACCUGUAUUGCUAAACAUGUUAUCCUACUCCAUGAUGUUGUAUCAUUUGCAAAUACUCCUGGACAUCAGCUCCCAUUAGCUAUAAUCUGUACCUCUAAAAGAGGAGUAUAAACUGGAAUAAUCUGUACUCUAUUAUGCUUGAGACUUGAUCCAAGCCAUAUUAAUUGUUGCCAGUGAUGUUAUUAUCUACUCUAAUGGCUGAUGAAUCUGUACCUGCCAUACCAUGUGGAAUGACUAAUGAAUCUGUACCCGAAUACCAUGUGUAAUGAUUGUUAUUUUUGCAUCAUUUAAACAUUUUUUUCUGCUA
Molecule: long non-coding RNA, 1726 nt
Organism: Aegilops tauschii subsp. strangulata
Lineage: Eukaryota; Viridiplantae; Streptophyta; Magnoliopsida; Poales; Poaceae
Source: RefSeq, a predicted model, not a curated record